UCGCCGUUGUAAUGGGGCAACGCGCCCAC
This 29-nucleotide small RNA is filed under the name Bombyx mori (domestic silkworm). Its description in RNAcentral is "ovarian small RNA-28724". Lineage: Eukaryota; Metazoa; Arthropoda; Insecta; Lepidoptera; Bombycidae. The record is from RNAcentral.